AAACUGCGAAUGGCUCAUUAUAUAAGUUAUCGUUUAUUUGAUAGUGCCUUACUACUUGGAUAACCGUGGUAAUUCUAGAGCUAAUACAUGCUAAAAACCCCGACUUCGGAAGGGGUGUAUUUAUUAGAUACAAAACCAAUGCCCUUCGGGGCUCUUUGGUGAUUCAUGAUAACUAUACGAAUCGCACGGCCUUGCGCCGGCGAUGGUUCAUUCAAAUUUCUUCCCUAUCAACUUUCGAUGUUUGGGUAUUGGCCAAACAUGGUUGCAACGGGUAACGGAGGGUUAGGGCUCGACCCCGGAGAAGGAGCCUGAGAAACGGCUACUACAUCCAAGGAAGGCAGCAGGCGCGCAAAUUACCCAAUCCCGACUCGGGGAGGUAGUGACAAUAAAUACUGAUACAGGGCCCUUUCGGGCCUUGUAAUUGG
This 425-nucleotide ribosomal RNA is filed under the name Cephalosporium caerulens. Its description in RNAcentral is "SSU rRNA". It matches the Rfam family "Eukaryotic small subunit ribosomal RNA", at positions 84 to 512 of the family's 1831-position model. Lineage: Eukaryota; Fungi; Ascomycota; Sordariomycetes; Hypocreales. The record is from RNAcentral. RNAcentral also lists the same sequence under 2 other names.